Passer domesticus (house sparrow) is the source of this 543-nucleotide long non-coding RNA. RefSeq lists it as uncharacterized. The record is from RefSeq and is a predicted model, not a curated record. The transcript is spliced from 2 exons. Lineage: Eukaryota; Metazoa; Chordata; Aves; Passeriformes; Passeridae.
GUACCUUUGCAGAACCAGUGAAGAGAAGAAUCUGGGCAUUUAAGGCUUGACCUGUGCAAAGUAUCAUGUAGGAGGAGUGUGUCUCACAGUCAGACACCACUAAUAGUGCAUAGUGGGUGGCCAGUCCUUCUUAUUUUUCUUGGUUUCCUGGUAUGGUUUGAGCCUGGUUUGAGACUCCCCAGUACUUCAGACUUGCUGAUUUCACUGCUGCAGGACCUUUAAAGAGACAUUGCAUUAGAUUUAGGCUCAGCUUUUCAGCUAAUUCAGGAAGAAGAUUUUACAUCCUAAAGCAUGCAGAAAUAUAAUAAAGGUAGUUCUCAGGUCUGCAAGGACUUAAAAGUGUUUCUGCAAGGACUUAAAAGUGUUUCACUUCACGUCGGAGAGCAAUCUCAGGCUUGUGCUUUUGCUGUUUGUGGGGAUGUAACACGAGUCCCAUUUCAUAUGCUUUAGAUUUUAAUAGAUAAUUUGUUAAAGGAAUGAGCACAUUUAUGUUUACUUUUUAAACUGAAAUGAUGCAAUUAAAAUUACAGGAGAUAAAGAAAA